Molecule: ribosomal RNA, 341 nt
Filed under: uncultured eukaryote
Lineage: Eukaryota
Description: SSU rRNA
Rfam family: Eukaryotic small subunit ribosomal RNA
Source: RNAcentral
AUAGCGUAUACUAGAGUUGUUGUGGUUAAAAAGCUCGUAGUUGGAUCUCAGUUCGAGUCAGACGGUCCACUUGCCAGUGGUUACUGUCUGACUGAACACUUUAUCGAGUUGUCCUAUGGUGCUCUUCACCGAGUGUCAUAGGCGAUCGAUACGUUUACUUUGAAAAAAUUAGAGUGCUCAAAGCAGGCGUUUUGCCCGAAUAAUGUUGCAUGGAAUAAUGGAAUAGGACCUCGGUUCUAUUUUGUUGGUCUUCGGAAUCUGAGGUAAUGAUUAAGAGGGACAGACGGGGGCAUUCGUAUUGCAACGAUAGAGGUGAAAUUCUUGGACCGUUGUACGACGAA